CCUACGUGAUCUGCAGUGGGGAAUAUUGGACAAUGGGCGAAAGCCUGAUCCAGCCAUGCCGCGUGUGUGAAGAAGGCCUUCGGGUUGUAAAGCACUUUCAGAGGGGAAGAAAGCCUUGGGGCUAAUACCCUCGAGGAAGGACAUCACCCACAGAAGAAGCACCGGCUAACUCCGUGCCAGCAGCCGCGGUAAUACGGAGGGUGCGAGCGUUAAUCGGAAUUACUGGGCGUAAAGCGCGCGUAGGCGGUCUGAUAAGCCGGUUGUGAAAGCCCCGGGCUCAACCUGGGAACGGCAUCCGGAACUGUCAGGCUAGAGUGCAGGAGAGGAAGGUAGAAUUCCCGGUGUAGCGGUGAAAUGCGUAGAGAUCGGGAGGAAUACCAGUGGCGAAGGCGGCCUUCUGGACUGACACUGACGCUGAGGUGCGAAAGCGUGGGUAGCAAACAGGAUUAGAUACCCGGGUAGUC
RNAcentral lists this ribosomal RNA (464 nucleotides) under Vreelandella stevensii. Its description in RNAcentral is "partial 16S ribosomal RNA". It matches the Rfam family "Bacterial small subunit ribosomal RNA", at positions 338 to 795 of the family's 1533-position model. Lineage: Bacteria; Pseudomonadati; Pseudomonadota; Gammaproteobacteria; Oceanospirillales; Halomonadaceae. The record is from RNAcentral.